Molecule: ribosomal RNA, 253 nt
Filed under: uncultured bacterium
Lineage: Bacteria
Description: partial 16S ribosomal RNA
Rfam family: Bacterial small subunit ribosomal RNA
Source: RNAcentral
UACGUAGGUGGCAAGCGUUGUCCGGAUUUACUGGGCGUAAAGAGCGCGCAGGCGGUCGUAUAAGUCGAAUGUGAAAGCCCCCGGCUCAACUGGGGAGGGUCAUUCGAUACUGUUCGACUCGAAGGCAGGAGAGGGAAGUGGAAUUCCGGGUGUAGUGGUGAAAUGCGUAGAUAUCCGGAGGAACACCAGUGGCGAAGGCGACUUUCUGGCCUGUUCUUGACGCUGAGGCGCGAAAGCUAGGGGAGCGAACAGG